UCUAAUGUCUCAAAUAAAGCUGACACUGUGAAGGAGUCUAUCAGAGUUUUAGAAUACACGCUUGCACUUGAUUUUAUGAAAGUCAAGUAGAUAACGUGAAUUCUCUCAGGAAUUCCACACUUUGCCAACAUGCACAGCUUGGCAGAAUAAAUACAACUUGAGAUCAGGGGAAUUAAUUGGCUGUUUACACAGUUUAAUUGCAGAAAAAAAUAAAGAUCAUUAGUGAGAGAUACUCUAAGUUAUAGCCAGAAGCAUUCCGAAUGAUUUCAUGGUUGAAGAGAGCAUCUAAAUAAAGAUGUUAUAAGCCCAGGUGAACAAGAUCAUCCCCAUGGGAAACAUGUUACCCAGCAUGAAACCAGUGACAGAUGGGAGUUGCAACAUCAAAGGAAAUUUCUGUGUUCCUUUCCAGUCUGAAGACACAUCCCAGCUACUGGAAAGGCAAACUUCUCCAACUGGUUUUGAUUUUCUUCAAAUUUUUCCCCUCUGGAAAGGACUGAGUCGAAUCCCAUAGGCCUUUUUUUGCAAGAUCCUUCAGUCUAUGUGUAGUCUUUCAGAGAAACACUGGCCACUGUCUCAGAGAAGUGUUUCCACUCAGGGCAAAUCUGAGAUUCAUUGCCUUGUGGCUUUCUGAAACUAGAUAAGAAAUGGUAGGCUUAGUGGAGCUACAGGAAAAGUGAAGAGGAAGCAAAAGGAUUGGUUUUGAGUAGAAUGGUAGUUUAAGGGGUCAAUUUUCCUUUGGCUAGUGAGAUUCAGUAGUAACAAUUAAAUCUGGCCAACCAAAUUGAAGCAGAGCUGACUCAGCAUAACUGUGGUGACUUCUUCCUGUUUUGGCUCAACUGAAAGUAAAUUCAAUAAUAACCCUGGAACUAAAAGAAUAAUGGUAGAAAUAGCCCUUUUUUUUGGUUUUUACGAGACAGGGUUUCUCUGUAUUGUUUUGGAGGCUGUCGGUCCAGCCUGGCCUCGAACUCAGAGAGAUCCACCUGCCUCUGCCUCCCGAGUGCUGGGAUUAAAGGCGUGCGCCACCACCGCCCGGCAGAAAUAGCCCUUUUUUAUAAUAGCUACUUUCUCUGUAGAAUUCUCACUUAUCCUGUCUUUCUACACUAUAUAGAGGUGAAAAUUAAUAGCCAUCUAUUUAUACAUGUUUAUUAUAUUUCAGUGUGAUUUUCCAAAGUAUAUAUUAAAUUAUUCUUCCUGAGGAUCUUUUCACAUCCUUAUAAUUUGAAACAUUUUUUGUAUCAAAAUAUUUUAGUUAAUGGGUAGAAGGAUGUUUUGGAGAAUGAGAAUAAUGGGGAUUUAAAAACUGCAUACACCAUAUGUUCAUAUAUGCUCUCAUGAAGGCAAAAGAAUCUUGGUCUUCAAGAUGGCUUCAUUUGCUGCAUGGAACUGUGAGAGUAUAUCUGGAACCAAUAUGGGGAGGGCACCAACCACAUUGGUGCUGCUUGGGGGUUGGGAUCUCAGCUACCAUGACUGGAGAUACUCGAGCUUCCCUGUCAACGGUACAGAUUUUGAAUUCAGUCAGGCUUGAUAUGCAGCAAUCAAUCCAAAAUGUUAACCAUUCAUGUCAUAUAAAAACAUCAUCUAUGUUGGAUAUGUAGUGAAGAUGUGUAACAUCCAUUUUGUCAGCAACAUUCUGGUCAUUUCUCCUGAACUGUCUAUGUAGUGAGGGGAAAACCUCAAUCUACAAAUUAGUUUUCAGUUUAGUCUGUUUUUAAUAAUGAAAGAAGCCACAAUAGGUCUUAGUGUUUGGACAUUUUUAAAGAUACUUAGAGUUCUCUGAGAAUUGUCUUCAACAUCCUGAAAAGAUGAAAGAGAAUGGGAAUAAGUGGUGCCCUGGUUAUGACACCUGUGUGUAUACUCUGUGACUUUCAGGGAGGUGUUCUUAUUUACUCUUGUCUUGAUGAGUAACCAUUGCCUGGUCUUGCUCUGGGUCUCCUAUUGAGUCAACCAUACGGCCCUUCUGUAGCCACAAUCUCUGCUUCCACCAGGGCAUAAACACCUUUGGAUUGUGACUUUGGUCCCAUUCUGCCUAAGUGUCCAAUUCCGUAAUGCUAUUGUACUUUACUUGUAAGUAUUUCACUCUAACCUUUCCUUGCUUCCUGGGCACAAGUGUUCCAGUUUAAUUUGGUUCUCUCUCAGCUCUUUGUUGUGCAAGGUUAUAUGUCAGAGGUGGAGACUAUAGUGCCCUAUCAUAGGAUAUGUUGCUAGGGGUGUGUGUGUGUUUGUGUGCAUGUGCAUGCGUGUGUGUGUGUGUGUGUGUGUGUGUGUGUGUGUGUGUGUGUUCAUGUUGGAGAGCGAUAAAUUCUUCUAUUUUCUUGAUACUCUCACUUUCUAUUAUACCUCCCCUCUUGAUCAAAAUUAGAACAGGAAUUUCAGACAUGGUUAUACUUAUUUCUUUUCUUUUUUUUGUUCCAUAUCCAUAUAUGCUUUUUUCCUUGUCUUUUCCAAAAUAAUAGUGAGAAUUCUUUCCAUUUCUUCCUCCUGUAUCUCCUGUAUUCUUCUAGAAACAUAAAAGCAUGAAAUCAAGACGUUUUCCCCCUAAUUAUUUCAAAACAGACCAGCUUAUUCACAAAAUUCUGUUUUAGAAUGUUGGAAAGUAAAUUAUGCCUGGUCUUCACUUUGUUUCUCCUGUAACAGGUGCUAAUAUCAAUCAACAAAUUACAGUCAUCUGUUCAUAAAUGCAAAAGGAAAAAAAGCACACUGAUUAUGUACAAAUAUCAAUUCUCAUGGCCACCAUUACCUCCACCUUCAGGGCACACAGGUGAGGGCUAUUUGAGAUUUCCUUCUUAAUGUUGAAGUGGGAAACAUUCAUCCUUUGCAUACAAGCAGUAUGGAGAAUGGAGGACUGGCUCUUUAGAAAGGCAUUCAACUCUCUAGUUGAAGGCCAAGUAAGUAUUCUGUUCCUAUGAUCCAAGAAUCAGGAAGUAUGUGUCCUAUUCCAUUCUAAUUAAUUGUGUUGCAUUAAAUUGUGCACUGGUUUCAAUUACGUCUACAAGAUCUAUUUCACAUGGAGUAGCCAACAUGACCUCUCUAAGAUGCAAAUCAUAUUGUGCCUACUCUGCCUGAAAAUACACAAAGGGCUUCCUAUCCCACUUAUAAUAGAGCCAGAAGUCUCUGUGGCUUGCUCCUCUCUGCCUACUCUGUUGUGGAAGGGAUGCUGCUUGCCCACUUCUCCAUUUCAUCUCCAUCUUCUGGGUUUCAGUCCCUGUGUACCAGCCUCCAGGUUCCCUGCUGGCUCCUCAGGGUGCUAGUGCUAUUGUCUCCAGAAGAGGGGACUUGUACAUGCUGCUGCUUUUCACCAGAGAGCUGACUGACUUUUCUUGGCUACCUUCUCCCCCCAGGGUAAUCAGUUCCUUUUUAUUAAAUUAUUUUUUAUUAUGACACUUUAGAAGAAGUAAUGUUGACUUCGUUACUCUGUACACAUAAGCAUGCAUUCAAAGACACAGUGGAAAAUCCUCAAAUCAAAAGGCUGUGUUACAUUGUGAAGUAGACUUUGAUAUAUUGUUUUCAAUUUGGUAGUACUGGAUCCUGUGUUGUUUAAAAAAUACCUUUUUUGUGAUGAAUAAACUCACCAUAUUAUCCACA
Molecule: long non-coding RNA, 3582 nt
Organism: Mesocricetus auratus (golden hamster)
Lineage: Eukaryota; Metazoa; Chordata; Mammalia; Rodentia; Cricetidae
Exons: 2
Source: RefSeq, a predicted model, not a curated record